RNAcentral lists this ribosomal RNA (253 nucleotides) under uncultured bacterium. RNAcentral describes it as "partial 16S ribosomal RNA". It matches the Rfam family "Bacterial small subunit ribosomal RNA", at positions 524 to 776 of the family's 1533-position model. The record is from RNAcentral.
UACAGAGGGUGCGAGCGUUAAUCGGAACUACUGGGCGUAAAGCGCGCGUAGGCGGCUUUGCAAGUCGGGUGUGAAAUCCCCAGGCUUAACCUGGGAACUGCAUUCGAGACUGCAUUGCUAGAGUAUGGGAGAGGGAAGUGGAAUUUCCGGUGUAGCGGUGAAAUGCGUAGAUAUCGGAAGGAACAUCAGUGGCGAAAGCGACUUCCUGGACCAAUACUGACGCUCAUGUGCGAAAGCGUGGGGAGCAAACAGG